This 1079-nucleotide long non-coding RNA is filed under the name Salmo salar (Atlantic salmon). Its description in RNAcentral is "lncRNA (ENSSSAG00000101697.1)". Lineage: Eukaryota; Metazoa; Chordata; Actinopteri; Salmoniformes; Salmonidae. The record is from RNAcentral.
AUUUAGGCAGUUGAAGGCUACCUGUGUCCUGCAUAACUUCGUGAGGAUGGACACGAGGACCAGCAGUGGAUCUGCAGCUCACCGCCAUGUGCCAGAGGAGAGGUCUGCUGCUCUGCAGGAUGUUUCAAGGAUAGGGGCCAACAACGCAGCACGGGAGGCAAUCCAUGUGCGGGUGAGGGUGUGUUUAGGUGUAUAACUGUGGCUCCUUCCAUCUUCAAAGAGGACCAACUAUGGAGAAUAUAUAAAGUUCUCUGCAGCCACUUGGUGUGGACACCAGUAGGUUAUAUCAGCUGUGUCGGUGAACCCGUCCCGCAUCUGAACUUGCUGACACAUAGAGGGCACAGCAUUAUCAUAGGUAUAUUUUGACGUGAGAGAGGGUGCUAACCCCCAGCCUCGUCAUCACCAUCUCACCCGCUCUUAAGAUAACCUUCGGGCCAACUGGGUGCCCAAGGCUGUCAGGAGACUCCACUAGAGACACUAAUAUGGAAUUGUGAUGAACGGAGAGAAUAUUAGGGUAGCACUGUGAUUCAUGAAUCAAAUGCUGUCUUCCCUGCUCCUCUGUUCUUACCUCUUUCCCUUUGUUACCUUCCUUCCUCUGUUUUUAUAAUGCACACCAGAGCUUCAUUGAAGUACAGAUUGAACUUGCAUUUAGAAUAUAAUAUUAUAUUUAUAAUGCAUGCAUUAUGUAUUUAAAACACUUGGAUAAUGACGUUUUCAAGAAAGUGUUUCGCAUUCUAUUCGGGGUUGAAAUUAAGUCUCUCAUUUGAUGAAAUACUACACCUCUCCUGUGUCCUCAGAUCAAUGCAGAUGAAGGGAGUUUGAUACUGAGAUUAACCAGUUUUAGAGUAUUUCUAUGAUGCAUAGGAAGUGUAGUGUAUUGUUUUUAAAAAUUCUGUUUCUGUAUAUAUGAAUUACAAAUCAGCCUUUAACUACUUAAAUCAUGUGUCUAGUCUAUUGCAUAGUUACAAUGAGUAACCAUUGAUGUCCCAGGACCAGGAUUGGUAAACACUGUCAAAGUAUAUAAUUGUAAUACAUACAUGCAGACACAGCAUCAUUCAAAGAAUGGAGUUUGGUAUUCC